Molecule: RNA transcript, 6397 nt
Organism: Drosophila albomicans
Lineage: Eukaryota; Metazoa; Arthropoda; Insecta; Diptera; Drosophilidae
Gene: Syx1A
Gene name: syntaxin-1A
Exons: 3
Source: RefSeq, a predicted model, not a curated record
CAAGCGAAUGUCGGACAAAAGAAGAGACGAUACAAAAGAAAACCCCGAAAUUAUUACACAUUUUGCAACGGUCUGGUAAAUUGUGUAAUAAAACGGUAAACAUAAGAGAAAAGUGAACGCUACGAUAAUAAAAACGAAAUGAUGGCACUAACAAAAUUGCCGCAUAUGCGUCGUUGAGCGAGAGUGGCAUGUGUGAGAAAAGAAAGAGCGAAAAAGUGUCGUAUCAACAACAAAUCGCGAAAUUUACUACAAGCAAACGCAGUUGUAAAUCAAAUGAGAGCGCGAGCGAAGGCUUCCACUCAACACUAGCGCAAACGCACUCACAAUAUAUUCCACAGUGAGUGGAGCAAGAGUCACACAUUUAGCAUUUGGUUGGUCUGAACUGCGCCGGAAGGCGAAGCGUGUUUCAGAUUGACGAGAGCCAGCAACGCGUCGAGUGUGCUUUUUAGCGACGUGCGCGUAAAACAAUAGGGCGACAACAUAACAUUAAACUGCAACAACAAAAAUUAUACAAAACGUCAGCAAGAGAGAACGAGAGAGCUAGUGAUUGCGAGAGGGAGAGUAAGAGAGUGAGUGAGUGAAUGGUUAUUUGCCACCCACCACAGAGCAAAGCGAAUGGCAAAUGUGUGAAGUGCCCGCCGACUAAACUCACUCACACACAUACACCACUACCGAAAUACCAAUAUACCAAUACCAAUACAUACAAACACUCUCUCGCACGCACGCAAAAAUAACGCAAAAAAUAAAACAACAAAACGGAACGCAAAGAGAAAAACGCCCACCGUACAGCCAGCCGCCCGUCCCCCUCGUCUAGAGUCCCCGUCGCGUGUGUUACUGUGUUGUUGCUAUAAGCAACCAUCACGUCACACAGUCUCCCGAAGCAGCAGCAGCGGCCGUGUUUGGUACUAACAAGAAGCAGCAGCAGCAGUAGAAGAAGAGGAAGAGAGCCGCCGCCGCCGUUUGGAGCCCUGCGCAGAAAUCGAUUUUUUUUCGCCCAUUUGGCCGUACAACGAACGAAGUCAACCUCAACCGAAAUUCGUUUUAAGCACAGUACACGCAUUGACGAUUGUGUGUGUGUAAUGUGUAAAUGAGAGCAAAGCAGCAGCAGCAUAACCCAAAACGCAGCCAAAUAUCGAAACUCAAACGCAUUGCACUUUGCAAGUGCUUUCGAUAAGUGUGCAAAGUGAACGAAAGCCGUCGAUCAACAAAACAUCUCUAAUCGAUAACACGUUGCUGCCCCGCCCACUCCCCUCGCGCUUCGUUUGUCAAUAUUUGUGUGUGCGUGCGUGUGUGAAGAUCGGCAAUCAACACCGACCAAGUGCAUAACAACAAACACUCAAUAAAAAAAGAAAGAAAAACGCAAGGUUGAUUAAAAAGAGAAAAAAUGAAAACGGUGUGCUAAAAAGCUUUUCGCCCAUACAAAUAAAUCCCACGCAUUGUUUAACGCAACAGUAAAUAUAAAAGAAAAUAAGCAGCUAAAAUAUAUAAACGAUAUAUUUCUUGUUGCUUGCCGUGAGUCAUUAUUUAACGUUGUUGCUGUGCUCAGCCACUUGACUUGCUGCCUGGCAUUGAGGAGCUCGUGCUUAGUGUGUCGCUGUCUCUGUCUCAGUGUUGGUGUUGUUGGUGCUCCGCUAGUGUGCGUUAGUGUUAGUGUUGGUGCUACUGUCGUCGUCGCCGUCGUCAUCGUCGCUCUCUCGCUGCGGCUCUCUUGAGCGCAAAACACGCGCGCCGUUAACGAAAAAGCAAAAGCAUAAAAAAAAAAGAAAAACCGACUGCCAAAGAAUAUACAUAUAUAUUUGUAUGUGUAUGUAUAUGUAUUAUUAAGCAAAAGAAAAGAAUAGCAAAAAGUGAGGUGCGUGUAGCAAACAUAACAACACAACAGAAGAACUUGAGAAUUGUGAAUUGUGCGAAACGAAGCGAAACGAAACGAAGCAAAGCAACAAACAAACAACAGCAACAACAACAACAACAUCAUCACGAAAAGGCAGAAGUGAAGAGUGAAGUAUUUAUUUAGGCCACGCUGCAUGCGAAAAACCAUUUAGCGGUCACACAAAUCUACGGAAAAUCAAUAGUCACUUUUGUAAGCAGCAGCAGCAGCAGUCGAAAAGUAAAAACACAGAAAACAGAAAACAAAAAACACGCUGAGCAACAAAACGCUGCAAAAGUUGACAGUUAACUGCUAACAACAACAACUCGAUAAUAACAACAAAAGCUUACGUAAAGCUCGCGUUAAACGGCAACUGCAACAACUGCAACUAACAAAUCAAAAAGCAAAAAGCAGAAAAAGAAAAAACUCAACGACACAAUCGUUUGUUCGUUCAGUUGAAAGUGAAGCGAGAAGUGCGAAAGAGAAGAAACUAGUUAUUUGAACCUCAGCUAAACUUCCGCUGUCAAGAUGACGAAAGACAGAUUAGCCGCCUUGCAUGCCGCCCAAUCGGACGAUGAGGAGUCCGAGGAUGUCGCCGUCAAUGUGGACGGACAUGAUUCGUAUAUGGAUGAUUUCUUUGCCCAGGUCGAGGAGAUACGCGGCAUGAUCGAUAAGGUGCAGGACAAUGUCGAGGAGGUGAAAAAGAAGCAUUCGGCCAUAUUGUCAGCACCACAAUCGGACGAGAAGACCAAACAGGAGCUCGAGGAUUUGAUGGCCGACAUCAAGAAGAAUGCAAACCGGGUGCGUGGCAAACUCAAGGGCAUCGAACAGAAUAUCGAACAGGAGGAGCAACAGAAUAAAUCAUCGGCCGAUUUGCGUAUACGCAAGACGCAGCAUUCGACAUUGUCGCGCAAAUUCGUCGAGGUGAUGACCGAAUACAAUCGCACCCAGACCGAUUAUCGAGAGCGCUGCAAGGGAAGAAUACAGCGUCAGUUGGAGAUCACAGGACGUGCGACAACGAGCGAGGAGUUGGAGGAUAUGUUGGAGCAGGGAAAUCCGGCGGUGUUCACACAGGGCAUCAUCAUGGAGACGCAGCAGGCGAAACAGACGCUGGCCGAUAUCGAGGCACGGCAUGCGGACAUCAUGAAGUUGGAGACAUCGAUCAAGGAGCUGCACGACAUGUUCAUGGACAUGGCGAUGCUGGUGGAGUCGCAGGGCGAGAUGAUCGAUCGCAUUGAGUAUCAUGUGGAGCAUGCUAUGGAUUAUGUGCAGACAGCAACUCAGGAUACCAAAAAGGCGCUCAAAUAUCAAAGUAAAGCGCGACGAAAGAAGAUCAUGAUACUGAUAUGCUUGACUGUGUUGGGUAUCAUAGCGGCUGCAUAUGUUAGCAGUAUUUUCAUUAUCAAAGCCAGCAAAUAGCAUGCGUACUUAAGCUAUACAAUACGUAUUUUGUAGUUGCUAAAGAAUACGAUAAACUAACUAAAUUAAUUAAAUCAGAAUAUAAGCAUAGAAAGCACAGCAAAACACACACUAACCCAAACAAAGAAAAAAGAACGCUUUUGAGAAAUGCUUUCGCUUAAGUAGGAAUUGCACCUGUAAGAGCACAACAACAACUAGAACAACAACAACUACAACUAAAAAACGACAACAACAACAAAUACAACAAGAAAGCGAAUCCAGUUUGAUUUCUAGUUCCACUUUGCAACUUGCAACUGCACGUUUCUAUCUCAUUUGCAUCAUAAUAAUAACGAGUGACAACAACAACAACAACAACAACAACAACAACAACAACAGUUGCAACUGCACGCAUAUUAAUGCACAUUUUUACACACACAACAACAACAAGAAGGAGAAGAAGAGGGAACUUCGUAUUAUGGCAUUGAAUCAAACUGUGUUUAGCCAAUUUUGUUGACCACAAUCAAUGUGUUUUGGUGUCACGCCCACUGCCCACUGCAACAACAACAACAACAACUAAAACAACAACAACAGCAGCAGCAACAACAACAACGCGUCCAUCUUCGUGCGUCGUGAUAAACGCGAUAAAUAUUCGAUCAAAGUGAAUUCCAGCUUACAAAAACGCCCAAGUUUCGCCUCGCCAACAAAUUGCAGCAGCUGCCAAGCAUCCAGCAAAACGCCAAGAUGAAAAACCAUAAAAGGUACAAACCAAGGAAGAACAAGGAACAAGAGGAGAAAGAGGAGGAGAACAAGGAAAGGUCACGUAGCGGAUUCAGGUGCCGGGAUGAAUACAGGAAGAACUUGGAGCUGCCUGACUGACUAAUUAACGCGUGCGGCGAGAGUAAAUUAAUAGCGCCACGCCCCCUCAACGCCUCGACGCCUGCAAUCAGCCAGCGAACGAACUUCAGCAGCUGGCGAAUUAAAUUUCAGUCAAGUUUAUUUGCUGCUGAAAAUGUUAGAGAGAAGAUAGAAACCAGAAGGCUCUCUCUCUCUCUCUCUCUCUCGACUCUCAACUCGAGCGAGUAAUUUAAUUUUGGCAUUCACGUUGUAGUUGUUUCGUUUGUUGAUGGAAGAAGAGGAGAAAGAAGAAGACGUUGCACGUGUUUUGCAUUUUCCAUUACCAUUUUUACAAUGGCGUCACACACACAAUCUACAAUCUAGUACGAGCUAUUAAUUAUAUUAUUUAUAAUGAUUGUUUUGUUCAGUUUCCUGUUGAAUGUUGCCAGCAACAAACGCUUUAUUUACAUGUAAAUAGUCAUUAUAAUUAUUACGAGAACAUUUUGUAAAUCAACACAAAAAACGAGAACAGCUAAAAUAACUCUUAAAAAUUCUACGUUUUUUGCAACAUUAAAAUAAAAAGUAAAAACGAAAAAGCAAAAGAAAAAAAUAUUUAUUACGACAUUUAGUAUUUGUGCAUUAACUAAAUUUAUGACGGGAAGUGAAAGAAGCGAGAGGCAAGAAGCGAAAUGCAUAAAAAACAAAAACGAUAACAACUAUUAAUUAGUAAUUAUUAUAAUGUGAUGUUAUACAUAUAAUAUACAAUAUAAACAAAUAGCAAACACAAAAAAAACGUAAAAACAAAUAAAAAAUUAUAUAAAGAUAGUAAACAAAAAAAAACUUUAAACAAAAUGUUAACCAACAAAAACGAUAAAAAAAAAACAAAUUUUAUUAAGUAGAUUUUUGAAUUAAAAUUUAAUAUUACGUACAUAUAUAUAAAUAUAUACAUAAACAAAUAUAAACAAAAAAAAAACUAAAGAAAAUCUUUGAAAUGCGUUUUUCUACUUAAACCGAAACUAAAAUCGAAAAUCGAAAAUUCAGAAACCGAAAGCAAAAAGAAAUUGUCGAAUCCGAGAAACUAGAAUUGUAAAUUUUUUUCCCAAAAUUUAGCUUGCUAUAAACAAAAUGUAAAUGUUGUGCGAAAUAUAAACAAUUAGAUAAACCAGAAAAAAUAUAAAUAUAAAUAAAUAUGUGUAGCAAACAAACAUACAACAAAGAACAGAAUUGAAAUGAUUGAUUGAUAAUUAAUGAAUUUGCAAAAAGUUUUUCAAUUUAGUUAAAUUACAAAACAAAUUAUGUGUGUGUAUUUACUUCUACUCUAUAAGAAAAACGUUUAAAAUGCUAUUAUAAAGAACAAAAAAAAAAGAAAGCCAUCUACUUCUUCAAAGCACGACACGACGAUUUCUUCUUGACCGACAAACUAUUUAAAUAAAAUCGCUUAAACGAGUAAUAUUUAAAUAUAGUAUGUUAACGGCUUACAUAUAAACAACAUUAUUUUUGAAUUUUCUAGUUUUCUACAUAAAUCGCAUUUCUUCCACUUUCACGAAAAAUACCAACUACAAAAUAAAAUCGAAAUCAAUAUCGAUAUCGAGAAGAGAAGAACGAAGAAAAACCGAACGAAAAGAUUUGUUAUUAAACUUGAAUUUGUUUAUUUAUUCUGCCACGCUCAAAAUUAAUGGCGCGCCUAAUAAUUAUUAUUAGUUUGUUAUUUAUAUUAAAUAAAAAUCGAUUAAUCGUUAAUCGAUUUAGCUUAAGUUUCGAUUCGCAAUAAACAAAAAGAUAAACAAAACAAAACUGCAAAUAUAAAGCAUAUAUUUUUGGUACAAUUGUUUCGCCAUGUUGUUUUUAUUUAUUCAUCAACAAAUUGUACAAAAUACAAAAGAGAAAUUACAUUAAUUAUUACUACAACUUUCCACACACACACACACAUACAUACAAAGACAGACACGAACAAGAAACAAAGCAAAACAAAAGAAUGGAAAAACAACAACAAUUUAAGCGCAGAAGUUCAAUUAAUAAAAAUUAGAAUUUUAAAUAUAAAUAGUUACAUAAUUUAAAUAUAUAUAUACAAAUAUAUAUAAAGAAAAAGAUAUGCAUAUAAAUAUUUAAAAAGAAUAAAUUGAAACCAAAAGGAAGAACAACAAAAAAUACAAUUAUAUUAUGAUGUAUUAAAAACCAAAAACAAAAAAAAAGAAUGCAUAGAAAUGCGAGUUUCAUAAAAUCCUACAAUUUGUUUCAGACUCGUUAAAUUGUGUACUUUAAAAUUGAAUAAAAUUCAACCAAAAAAAAAAAGAGAAA